UACAGAGGGUGCGAGCGUUAAUCGGAAUUAUUGGGCGUAAAGGGCGCGUAGGUGGUUAGUUAAGAUUGAUGUGAAAUCCCUGGGCUUAACCUAGGAAUGGCAUCGAUGACUGGCUAGCUGGAGUACUGUAGAGGGUAGUGGAAUUUCCGGUGUAGCGGUGAAAUGCGUAGAGAUCGGAAGGAACACCAGUGGCGAAGGCGACUAUCUGGACAGAUACUGACACUGAGGCGCGAGAGCGUGGGUAGCAAACAGG
RNAcentral lists this ribosomal RNA (253 nucleotides) under uncultured bacterium. RNAcentral's name for it is "partial 16S ribosomal RNA". It matches the Rfam family "Bacterial small subunit ribosomal RNA", at positions 524 to 776 of the family's 1533-position model. The record is from RNAcentral.